AGAGUUUGAUCCUGGCUCAGGACGAACGCUGGCGGCGUGCUUAAUACAUGCAAGUCGAACGGACUUCCUCCCUUCGGGGAAGAAGUUAGUGGCGAACGGGUGAGUAACACGUGAGCAACCUACCCUUGACACUGGAAUAACAGCUGGAAACAGCUGCUAAUACCGGAUACGACUCCUCUCGGCAUCGCGAGGAGUGGAAAGCUCCGACGGUCAAGGAUGGGCUCGCGGCCUAUCAGCUUGUUGGUGAGGUAACGGCUCACCAAGGCUUCGACGGGUAGCCGGCCUGAGAGGGCGACCGGCCACACUGGGACUGAGAUACGGCCCAGACUCCUACGGGAGGCAGCAGUAGGGAAUAUUGCACAAUGGGCGAAAGCCUGAUGCAGCAACGCCGCGUGCGGGAUGACGGCCUUCGGGUUGUAAACCGCUUUCAGCUCCGACGAAGCGCAAGUGACGGUAGGAGCAGAAGAAGGACCGGCCAACUACGUG
RNAcentral lists this ribosomal RNA (486 nucleotides) under uncultured Microlunatus sp. RNAcentral's name for it is "bacterial SSU rRNA". It matches the Rfam family "Bacterial small subunit ribosomal RNA", at positions 8 to 507 of the family's 1533-position model. Lineage: Bacteria; Bacillati; Actinomycetota; Actinomycetes; Propionibacteriales; Propionibacteriaceae. The record is from RNAcentral.